UUUAUGGCCACAGAAAACAAAACUCGGGGUGCAUGGUUGCCAACCCCCAACCAUAGGCCUACGUUUUCAAGCGAGAGUUUUAGCAAGAAACUGAGCGUUCCUAAAUCUUACUGCUUGUUCUCAAAAGGAGUUGGAAAAGAAAAACCCAUAAAACAGAAAAUUUUGUUCUUUAAAGUCACACCCUAAGUUAAACACCCUCUCAAUGGUGCCUGCAGUUAUGUCUAAGUCCCUGUGGUGCCACUUUCUACAGGUCUAUGUGAGCAGGGUAGACUUAAGUAGACAUAUCUUUCUGAGUAUUCCUCCUCCUAGCCCCUUCUCUCUGUCAAAUGAACUAUCCUGAUAUAAUAAUGAACACCACACAGACUAAUGCAAUGCUUCUCACCCAUAGGUCAAGAGGCAUUUGGGGGAAGGGGCAUAUAGAGUUUUUGUACAAUGAGCUUCAAAUCCAUCUGCAUGCUUUAUUAUCUAUGACUCAGCUUCCUAUAUUUCCCAAAGGGUUGUACCCCUACUCUUCAAGUAUG
Molecule: long non-coding RNA, 521 nt
Filed under: Marmota monax (woodchuck)
Lineage: Eukaryota; Metazoa; Chordata; Mammalia; Rodentia; Sciuridae
Source: RNAcentral